Molecule: long non-coding RNA, 483 nt
Filed under: Capsella grandiflora
Lineage: Eukaryota; Viridiplantae; Streptophyta; Magnoliopsida; Brassicales; Brassicaceae
Description: long non-coding RNA (CGRA_LNC001104)
Source: RNAcentral
CCCGAGAUAUCUCUGCAGCUCUUUCCUGAUCAGAGGACUUCCUAUGUCCCUCCUUCGCAGCUACAGUAGGUCCAGAAACUUCAGACUUAGCCAAAGUGGGAUGUCGCUUCACCUUCUGUAAGCUUCUUUCACGGUUAUAUGCUUCAACCUACACCAAGAAUACAGAGCACACCAAAAUGUCAGUUGUUGAAUCUUUUGGAUCCGAAAAAGAAAAACGAUUUAGAUUUAGAAACCUUACUUCUUCUCUAAUUAUCUUUGUUGUUGCAGCAGCUCUUGAAGAAGCAAGACGCAUACAAUGAAGGAUUACACUCUGGCUCAAGCCUUCUUCACCCGGUUUCUGAAUUGCACAUAUGUCGCCAUUUGCAUUAACUGUCACAGUCAUUCUCUCACACAUUACUGCUUCUUCAAACAGUUGAAGUUGAGAAUUGCCUUUUCUACUUAACAAGUUCUUACAGGUUUCUCUAAACCGAAAACAUAUGACUA